RNAcentral lists this long non-coding RNA (1118 nucleotides) under Bos indicus x Bos taurus (hybrid cattle). RNAcentral's name for it is "lncRNA (ENSBIXG00000003610.1)". Lineage: Eukaryota; Metazoa; Chordata; Mammalia; Artiodactyla; Bovidae. The record is from RNAcentral.
UGGGGAACACAGGUAUAAUUGUGGCAGAUUCAUUACGAUAUUUGGCAAAACUAAUACAAUAUUGUAAAGUUUAAAAAAAUUUAAAACUUAAAAAAAAACCCAACAACAAUGCUUAUUGCAAUACUUGGUGACAUGGUUAGUCCCUAAUAAGCAUUUGUGGACAAGAAUGAGUUGUGUUUGGCACAGUAUUUGGGCAGCUUGAAAUUUCUAGAGACCCAGUUUCUUUUAGGCGUGACACUGGAGUGGCAGCUGGAGCAACUUUGAGGAGAUACCCCACAUCCAAGGGCAAGGAGAAGCCCCAGCAAGAUGGUAUCAGGGGCGAAAUCCCUUUUAGAAUCAAACCCCAUGCCCACCAGAGAUGCACAGAGGGCUCAAACAGCUUGUGCACACAAGGACGCAGAGACCUCACAGACACUCAAACACAGUUCUUGCUCGGUCUCUGGGUCCAGGUGCGCACAAGGUUUGUUUGAGCCCUCUGAGUAAGGGGUUUGAUUCUAAAACCAAGGGGUUUGAUCCAAAAAAAUGCUAUUUUGCCCCUGCAAGGAGAUCCCACCAGUCAAUCCUAAAGGAAAUCUGUCCUGAAUAUUCACUGGAAGGACUCAUGCAGAUAUAAAAACUCCAAUACUUUGGCAACCUCAUGCAAAGAACUGACUCAUUGGAAAAGACCCUGAGGCUGGGAAAAAUUGAAGGCAGGAGGAGAAGGGGACGACAGAGGAUGAGAUGGUUGGAUGGUAUCACCGACUCAGUGGACAUGAAUUUGAGUAAGCUUUGGGAGUUCGUGAUGGACAGGGAAGCCUGGCAUGCUGCACUUCAUGGGGUUGCAAAGAGUUGGACAUGACUGAGUGACUGAACUGAAGGCUAUGCAGAGGUGGGUGGGCAGUUUUUUUUUUUUUUUUUUUUAAGGACUUAGAGGCAAAAGAUAGAUAGGAAUAUCUGAAUAUUUCAGCUUAGAGUUUAGGAAACCAGAUUAGAAUGUGGAGCAGAAGCCCAAACAUGGAGUAAAAGCUAUGAUUACAUGAAUGUUUCACUUGGCUAUUAAUAAUAACACUUAAUAAGACCCCUAAAGCUCAGAGGUUUACCAAAAUAAAUAUGUAUUUCUCAUUUAUGGGUUUACUGGU